RNAcentral lists this ribosomal RNA (460 nucleotides) under uncultured bacterium. RNAcentral's name for it is "partial 16S ribosomal RNA". It matches the Rfam family "Bacterial small subunit ribosomal RNA", at positions 338 to 795 of the family's 1533-position model. The record is from RNAcentral.
CCUACGGGUGGCUGCAGUGAGGAAUAUUGGUCAAUGGGCGCGAGCCUGAACCAGCCAAGUAGCGUGAAGGAUGACUGCCCUACGGGUUGUAAACUUCUUUUAUAAAGGAAUAAAGUGAGGCACGUGUGCCUCUUUGUAUGUACUUUAUGAAUAAGGAUCGGCUAACUCCGUGCCAGCAGCCGCGGUAAUACGGAGGAUCCGAGCGUUAUCCGGAUUUAUUGGGUUUAAAGGGAGCGUAGACGGGUUGUUAAGUCAGUUGGGAAAGUUUGGGGCUCAACCGUAAAAUAGCAAUUGAUACUGGCAGGCUAGAGUACAGUAGAGGUAGGCGGAAUGCGUGGUGUAGCGGUGAAAUGCUUAGAUAUCACGAAGAACUCCGAUUGCGAAGGCAGCAUACUAAACUGCCACUGACAUUGAGGCACGAAAGCGUGGGGAGCAAACAGGAUUAGAUACCCCGGUAGUC